CUCGAGGGAACCUCCUGAACAAGGACCUGCUUGUUCGCCCCCUGACCACCCCCCCGGCAGCCAAAAACACCAUCUCAGCACCGUACCAAGGUACCCGGCGCAGCCCCCYGCGUGGGGAGGCCACAGGCCUGGAGAGCCCUCGUUGUCCCCGCGAGGAGCAAAGGACAUUGCCGGAGGCGCGUGCGGAGCAGCAGGCUGAUUUUUCCCUCUUCUGCCCGUGCCGCAGGGGGGGCAGAACAGCUUUCCCACCGCCCCGCUGCUGGAUUUCACAGCUCAGCACAGCAGUGAAACCCCUGGACGGAGAGAUCCCGGGAAGCCAAAGGUCUCCCUGGGCCUCGAAAGGUGCUAGUUACUCCUUUGGGUCAGAAAACCUGAAUCUGCGAGCCUGCRAGCCGCGGGCUGCUCCGUCCCGGCCCUGGGCUGGAGCAGACUGCGGCUGUCCCCUUGCCGCGGAGCACAUGUCCCCCCUGUUCCUCCUGCUCUAGGACACUUCUCCUGCCCCUCUCUCCCGUUAGCAGGUCCCCUCGCACCGGAGGGCGGCUUGGAGACUUCAGCCUCCCCCAGCCCCUGGCCGCAGGGGCUCAGCAAAUUUGGGACCUGCAAAGCCUGCAGGAGACAUGGGUCCCAAUCCCAAACGCCGAGGCCUGGAGAGAUGGUCGAGGAUGAGGGGGGAGAGGAGCAGGGUGUCCGACACCGACCGCGACUCCAGCAGGAUGCACGCCAUGGAGAGAGCAGCCGUGCACCCGCUGCACCUACCGCAGCCCCGGCUGCGAAGCAGGCAGCGCGAACAGCCGCCGCGGCACCCUCGCCCCCCCGGCCUCGCAAGGGGCUUUCUUCGCCUUUCAGGAGCGCGUCGCCGUCAGCACGACCCUGCGCGCCGCCCCGGGGGUUGUGCGAGGGGGGGUCUGCUCCCCGCGUGCACGCCGGCCCCGCUGCAGGGCGACGUGGGGCUGGAGCCCUCUGCGGCUCGUCCUGCUGCUGCGGAAAGGGCAGCGGCACAGGGAAGAGCCCCCGACCGCGCUUGGCUCUCACGUGCUGCCCAGAAACCCAGGUGGGGGGAAAGGGGGGGGGGGUUGGCCUCCUCGUUGGGGCCCAGACAGCUCCAGAACGUGCUAAAUCGGGAUCCUCAGUCUCAUGCUUCCCAAACAGGCUUUUAAGGGACCCUCGUGCUCUCCGGCUGCUUUGCGGGGGCUGCAGCGUGGCCGAGCCCUGCGCCGCUCCCCCGAAGCCUCCCCCGCUCCGCUCCGCCUCGGCACGUCCAAGGGACCCCCCCCAAAUCCAGGCGAUCCGGGGGCCGCGUCGCCAUCCCGUCCGCAUCCUUGUCCCAUCGAGCAAAAACCCGCUUACGCCGUCAGCCCGGCGYCGGGUGGAGAACGGAGGACGAGAGGAUGGAGAGGUGGGAGGGUGGCGAGGGAGGCAGCUCCCGCGUCCCCGUCCACCCCCCUGCUACAAAGUGCUUCCGAGAGAGAAGGACCGAAAAAGCGGGCUGGCGCUUUUGGCACUUGUCGCGGAGAGAGGGCCCAGCCCCGGGCGCCGCGCGCGCAGCAGGUCGGAAGACAGUGAGGUUAAACCAGCCAUCGCCUGGGAGCCGGGGACCAGGGCGGCCGGGCUGCCCCCGCGCUCAGCCCCUGGGAAAAGCAAGCCGGAGGAAGGAGCCGCUGGCUCCGGCCGCCUGCUUAUUGCUCGGCUUUGGCGGCUGGGGAGGGGGCUGUGCCGGGGGGGAGCGCGGAGGGGAGGCGGAUGGGGGCCGCGGGAGCAGAGCUGGGGUGGGAGCGCCGUCACCGCCACGGCACAGCCGGCGACUUCCCACGGCCUCGGCCCACGCUGGAAAACCCCGGGGGGGGGGGGAGCCCCGUCCCGCCGCGGUGCCGCCGGGCGAUCCCCGUCCCUGCGAGCCGCGGGAGGAGAGAGGAGUGCGAGGAGGCCACGCAGGCUCCGGCG
Long non-coding RNA from Apteryx rowi (Okarito brown kiwi), 1941 nucleotides. NCBI's taxonomy places the organism in Eukaryota, Metazoa, Chordata, Aves, Apterygiformes, Apterygidae. The record is from Ensembl.